CAUGCUUAACACAUGCAAGUCGAACGGCAGCGCGGGGAGCUUGCUCCCUGGCGGCGAGUGGCGGACGGGUGAGUAACUGCGUGGCGAAUCUGCCCAGUAGUGGGUGGACAACCCGGGGAAACCCGGUGCUAAUACCGAUACGCCCUACGGGGGA
Molecule: ribosomal RNA, 154 nt
Filed under: uncultured bacterium
Lineage: Bacteria
Description: partial 16S ribosomal RNA
Rfam family: Bacterial small subunit ribosomal RNA
Source: RNAcentral